CAUACUUCAUAAUCUCCAAUUACAGAUGCUAUUUUCCGACAUUUACAUGCAGAUAUUAGAACCAAAUGAAAAUGAGAAACAAAGAGAGAAUGGAAAUGCAGCUAUUUAUAUGUAUAAAAAACAAACAGGUACAAAAUGUGAGAUUCAUGAAAUUAGCAAAUCACUGCAGAACAGGAAGUUAUUAUCAAUAAUUAAAAGCAAAGGCUCUGAAGUCAAGUUAACCCUGAUAAAAACGCAAAUACACAGAAAUACUGUUGUCAUUGUGCUAGGUUUUUUUGCUACUGCCUACAUUAGCUAAAUUUGGGCUUAGACAUAAUAGCUAAAACCAAAGCCUGGGGUCUACUUCCUUCUGUUUCUGAUGUCUCUAAAAGCCAGAAGGUUACCUUUGAUAAGGAACACAGUGAUUGAACCAAGCGG
RNAcentral lists this long non-coding RNA (417 nucleotides) under Mustela putorius furo (domestic ferret). RNAcentral's name for it is "lncRNA (ENSMPUG00000027676.1)". Lineage: Eukaryota; Metazoa; Chordata; Mammalia; Carnivora; Mustelidae. The record is from RNAcentral.